RNAcentral lists this ribosomal RNA (254 nucleotides) under uncultured bacterium. RNAcentral's name for it is "partial 16S ribosomal RNA". It matches the Rfam family "Bacterial small subunit ribosomal RNA", at positions 524 to 776 of the family's 1533-position model. The record is from RNAcentral.
UACGGGGGGAGCAAGCGUUGUUCGGAUUUACUGGGCGUAAAGGGCGCGUAGGCGGCCAGCACAAGUCAGUUGUGAAAUCUCCGAGCUUAACUCGGAACGGUCAACUGAUACUGUGCGGCUAGAGUGCGGAAGGGGCAACUGGAAUUCUUGGUGUAGCGGUGAAAUGCGUAGAUAUCAGGAGGAACACCGGUGGCGAAGGCGGAUCUCUGGGCCUUACCUGACGCUCAGGUGCGAAAGCUAGGGGAGCGAACAGG